This is an RNA transcript of Neltuma alba, 1283 nucleotides long. It is a transcript of the gene named centromere protein V-like, with no coding region annotated. The record is from RefSeq and is a predicted model, not a curated record. NCBI's taxonomy places the organism in Eukaryota, Viridiplantae, Streptophyta, Magnoliopsida, Fabales, Fabaceae. The transcript has 2 exons.
AGAAGGCUUUGUCAAGUGAAGUUACGACUAUAAAAGCUUUUAUAGCGACCCAGCAGGCGAACAUCUGAGGGCAACGUCUCUGCCUUGCUUCUCCGUCUUCAAUUGUGAAGGGCCAUUAAUAUAUGUACAGCAAGUUUUUUGUGCAGGAGGGUCAUAAAUCCUUGACUCAUUUUUAUCGUACUUGUACAAUCGUAGCUUAGAUCUUCGAUGAAAAUAACUAUAGAUGUUGAUGAGCUUACAGCUUACAAGUUCCAACCCAUCAUCACCCCUACAAUUAAACUGUUUUAGCUCUGUUUUGCUGGAAAUAUAAACGCUUUUGUUAAGUGUCCCUGUCUAGUGGGUUCAGUAGCCUUCAAGAUUUUCGUUGAGCAGAAUUUUUUUGUCGCUGAACUCUAAAGUUAUCCAGAUGCCAUUUAACAAACUGUAAUUUUACGAGAUCUCCAUAGCUUCUCACUAGAAUUAAAUACCUUCCAGAGUAGUAUUAUCUCAUACCUUCUGGUAUAGCUGAUGACACUAAUGAUGUACUAACCCAUGCACUGGGAUGAAGAUAAUGACGUACUAAAUGAUUCAUAGCUCAAUCAUGUUCUGUUUUUGAAGCGUGAUAAAUUGUGGCUAACAGGUUUCUGCCAACAUAUACAUCUGCCGGAGCCAAAAUUGCAUUUCUGAGCUAAAAAAUUUAGAAAGCUGAGAUGGAUUCUGAUUCAAAGACCGUGGUGCAUAUUGGAGGGUGCCAUUGCAAGAGUGUGAGGUGGAAAGUAGUAGCUUCCUCUAGUGUUGUGGCUUGGGAAUGUAAUUGUUCAGACUGCUACAUGAGAGGGAAUACACACUUCAUUGUGCCGGCCGAAAGAUUUGAACUUUUGGGAGAUUCAGAGAAGUUUAUCACAACUUACACCUUUGGCACUCACACUGCUAAGCAUACAUUCUGCAAGGUCUGUGGUAUAACCUCAUUCUAUUACCCACGCUCAAACCCAGAUGGAGUUGCUAUUACAUUCAAGUGUGUUGAUCCUGGCACACUGAAGAGUGUUGAAAUCAAGCAUGCUGAUGGAAGGAAUUGGGAAAGUGCAUAUCUUCAAACAGGCAUCGCUUCUUAUUCGAAGGUGCAGAAGUAAUUUCUUGUUACUCUCAAUCAGUUAUGGAUUGUACUCUAUUCCCAGUUUCUGCCAAGAUUUCGUGUGUAUGGUUGUAUCAAAAUAAGAUCAUCUUUUUAUGGUCAAAGGUGCAGGAAUACAUCUAUUCAUGUCAAAAUUGUAUGGUCCGAAAAUCUUCCCUUUUCUCUUCGCACA